AGAAGUGACCAGAAGACAGGAGUGUGAGCCUUCUUUAUGCCUGGGCAGGGCCACCAGAGGGCUCCUUGGUCUAGUGGUAAUGCCA
This is a microRNA precursor of Chlorocebus sabaeus (green monkey), 85 nucleotides long. The record is from Ensembl. NCBI's taxonomy places the organism in Eukaryota, Metazoa, Chordata, Mammalia, Primates, Cercopithecidae.